Long non-coding RNA from Oreochromis aureus, 1193 nucleotides. RefSeq lists it as uncharacterized. Lineage: Eukaryota; Metazoa; Chordata; Actinopteri; Cichliformes; Cichlidae. The record is from RefSeq and is a predicted model, not a curated record. The transcript is spliced from 6 exons.
GCUGCUACGGUUUCUGAGAUAUAAUGAUUUUAAUUAUUACGGCCUACGCUGUAUAACACCAGUGUCUGUGGCAGUGAGUUUCAGCAGCUGUGGAAUUUUGCACUUUUAUAGAAGACUGUCCACUUUUUCUAGGCUUGCUGCAUAUUAACUUUAAUUAGUUUACACUUUAGUAACACAAUUUAUUCAGCGGAAAGGUCGAUAUGUCUUUUGUUACCAGUGCAGAAACGUACACAAGGUUGUUACCUACGUGUAGAAAACUGAAUAUUCCACAGCACCUAGGCCAGGAAUGUUCAACCUGCGGCUCUAAAGCCACAUGUGGCUCUCCGGCCCCUCCACUGUGGCUCUUAUAAGACCAAAUGCUCCUGUCACUCCAUUUCCCAGGUCAUCAUAGCACUCCCACACACACGGAGCUCUCCUGCAGUAUGCAGUGUAAUGGCCCAAACCACCAGUGGUCAUCUUUCCAUGGAAAGCAAUUAAUGCCCUCAAAGUGAACGAUUUUCCUUGGAGAACCAGGUUGGAGGGAAAUUCGUUCAGGGGAAAUUCUGUUUGGUUUGCAAGAGAUGGAUUGGAGAGUGGCCUGAGGCAGGUAGACUCAGGUAGGCCAAGUCCUGCUUCCACAGCCGUGCCAAGAUGAGCCAUACCAGACUCUUUGAGGACAGAGAUGGCAGGAGAAACAAAUGGCACUUCCCUUGUCAUCCCUUUGCUGAGGUAGCAGUGCUGUGAAGAGCAGUGUUUGGUUUGUUGGGUCACACCAUCUGUGGCAAUGGCUUUCACCAGCUGCAGGACUGGGUUUUCACUGUCUUUCAGAACAGCAUUUUGAAAUGUUGAGCUGUCACAGAAGGCACAACAUAAGCACUGAAAAAAUGCAUCAAAAGCACAGUUUCAUCUGCAUGGAGCCAUUCGGUACAUGAAGAGUGUCACAGUCUGGCGGGAGCAGACUGUAUGAAUUGAAAAAAGGACCCAAAUGCAGACUCCAAGGAACAGGGAGCAAAACGUGAAUGAUAACAAAAAGAGAGCCGUUUAAUGAGGCUGGUAAAAGGUACAAACAAAAGGCAAGGCAAACUGAAGCAAAAUUAACACAAACCUAAACUGGGAAAUCUAAACAAACAAUAAGAAAAACCUAGACAAGAAACUUGGAGGCGAGGCAUGGCAUGGCAAACAUGGCGUGGACAACAGACGACCUGACAAGGGCC